UUUCAGGCAAUUGAAUCAAAAAUACACUGUUGCUUAGAUGACUAAGCAGGGCAAUCAUGCAUCUGCAAACCAUAUCAGCUAAAACUUAAAGUAUGUCUAAUAAUCUCUCUGGUUUACUUAAAAAAAAAUCAUGGACUGUUUCACAGCUAAAAGCUCAUUUAGUCAUUAUUCAAAUGUUUGUCUAUUACAUUCCCACGGAGGCAGGACGGAGUCUUCUUCCUCCUCCGACACGUCGUUAGGAAAUGCCUCUGCUUUCCGUCCUGCUCUAGGGCAGGCAGUAAGCUUUAGCUGAGAACACAUUUGGAGAUGUGUGAACGAGUGAACCAAGUGUAUCCUGGAAGCACCAGCCCAUGCCUGCUCCUGCAGAGCCUGUGAAAGCCCAGCAAACUUUUUGGGGACUGACGCAGAGGACCAGAGCUAUCACCAGCUGGAUUUGGGGCUUUGGUGGCAUAGAUGCAAGGGAGAUAAAUGACUCUUAUUUUGUUCUUAGGAGCUGUUUCCUUCACAGAAACUUCUGACAAAACUGAUAGAUUUAGACACUCAGUUGUCCUGCCUGAACUGUUCUAUUGUUCUUGCUGGCUUCCAAUCCUGAAAUGCAAGACCAUAGUUUUCACAACACUGAAGGAAUUAAACUCGGGAAGUCAGCUCGUGAUGGUCCAGGGACUAAGAGAAAAAGAAUGUGAAGAUCAGCAGUCCAACGGCCAACGCUAAAAAUGCUCUGGACUUAGGAAGUGCCGCCUGUCUCAGUGUGACCCAGGACCCGAGGGGCCCACGGCAGGAGCACCUCUUUCUUACUCCCCAGUCUUCACCUCGAGGGCCAAGCCGGCCCCUGGA
RNAcentral lists this long non-coding RNA (834 nucleotides) under Physeter macrocephalus (sperm whale). RNAcentral's name for it is "Physeter catodon (sperm whale) lncRNA (ENSPCTG00005003257.1)". The record is from RNAcentral. Lineage: Eukaryota; Metazoa; Chordata; Mammalia; Artiodactyla; Physeteridae.